CGGACCAAGGAGUCUAGCAUGUGCGCGAGUCAUUGGGACUAUACGAAACCCACAGGCGAAAUGAAAGUGAAGGUGUGCCUUGUGCAUGCCGAGGGCUGAUGGGUGGCGCUUAACGGCGCGUGCCCCGCAAGCCCGGGGCGUCCCGUACUCAUUGCGAGUUGGGGCGCACCUAGAGCGUACACGCUGGGACCCGAAAGAUGGUGAACUAUGCCUGGUCAGGACGAAGUCAGGGGAAACCCUGAUGGAGGUCCGUAGCGAUUCUGACGUGCAAAUCGAUCGCAAGAACUGGGUAUAGGGGCGAUAGACUAAUCGAACCAUCUAGUAGCUGGUUCCCUCCGAAGUUUCCCUCAGGAUAGCUGGCGCCCGGUUGAUGAGUUUCAUCCGGUAAAGCGAAUGAUUAGAGGCAUUGGGGUCGAAACGACCUCAACCUAUUCUCAAACUAUAAAUGGGUGAGAGCUACGGCCUGCUUAACACGUGAGGCUGUAGAAUACGAAUCGAUGGGUGCCAAGUGGGCCAUUUUUGGUAAGCAGAACUGGCGCUGUGGGAUGAACCAAACGUUUAGGUUAAAGCGCCUAAAUUGACGCUUAUGGGACACCAUGAAAGGCGUUGGUAACUUA
RNAcentral lists this ribosomal RNA (617 nucleotides) under Micridium vittatum. RNAcentral describes it as "partial 28S ribosomal RNA". It matches the Rfam family "Eukaryotic large subunit ribosomal RNA", at positions 662 to 1234 of the family's 3401-position model. The record is from RNAcentral. Lineage: Eukaryota; Metazoa; Arthropoda; Insecta; Coleoptera; Ptiliidae.